This 497-nucleotide ribosomal RNA is filed under the name uncultured bacterium. Its description in RNAcentral is "partial 16S ribosomal RNA". It matches the Rfam family "Bacterial small subunit ribosomal RNA", at positions 28 to 507 of the family's 1533-position model. The record is from RNAcentral.
GAUGAACGCUGGCGGCGUGCCUAAUACAUGCAAGUCGAGCGAACGGACGAGAAGCUUGCUUCUCUGAUGUUAGCGGCGGACGGGUGAGUAACACGUGGAUAACCUACCUAUAAGACUGGGAUAACUUCGGGAAACCGGAGCUAAUACCGGAUAAUAUUUUGAACCGCAUGGUUCAAAAGUGAAAGACGGUCUUGCUGUCACUUAUAGAUGGAUCCGCGCUGCAUUAGCUAGUUGGUAAGGUAACGGCUUACCAAGGCAACGAUGCAUAGCCGACCUGAGAGGGUGAUCGGCCACACUGGAACUGAGACACGGUCCAGACUCCUACGGGAGGCAGCGGUAGGGAAUCUUCCGCAAUGGGCGAAAGCCUGACGGAGCAACGCCGCGUGAGUGAUGAAGGUCUUCGGAUCGUAAAGCUCUGUUAUUAGGGAAGAACAUAUGUGUAAGUAACUGUGCACAUCUUGACGGUACCUAAUCAGAAAGCCACGGCUAACUACGUG